Molecule: ribosomal RNA, 465 nt
Filed under: uncultured bacterium
Lineage: Bacteria
Description: partial 16S ribosomal RNA
Rfam family: Bacterial small subunit ribosomal RNA
Source: RNAcentral
GAUGAACGCUGGCGGCGUGCUUAACACAUGCAAGUCGAACGGAAAGGCUCCUGCUUGCAGGGGUACUCGAGUGGCGAACGGGUGAGUAACACGUGGGUGAUCUGCCCAGCACUUCGGGAUAAGCCUGGGAAACUGGGUCUAAUACCGGAUAGGACGAUGGUUUGGAUGUCAUUGUGGAAAGUUUUUUCGGUGUGGGAUGAGCUCGCGGCCUAUCAGCUUGUUGGUGGGGUAAUGGCCUACCAAGGCGUCGACGGUAGCCGGCCUGAGAGGGUGUACGGCCACAUUGGGACUGAGAUACGGCCCAGACUCCUACGGGAGGCAGCAGUGGGGAAUAUUGCACAAUGGGCGCAAGCCUGAUGCAGCGACGCCGCGUGGGGGAUGACGGCCUUCGGGUUGUAAACUCCUUUCGCUAGGGACGAAGCGCAAGUGACGGUACCUGGAGAAGAAGCACCGGCUAACUACGUG